Molecule: non-coding RNA, 495 nt
Organism: Nylanderia fulva
Lineage: Eukaryota; Metazoa; Arthropoda; Insecta; Hymenoptera; Formicidae
Source: RefSeq, a predicted model, not a curated record
ACUUGUAUAAAGACAUAUUAUCAGAAAAUUUUGGAUUAGUUCUUCAUAAGUCUGCAACGAUGAAUACCCAAAUAUAUCUAUUUUUAUUGGUUGCCAUUUUUGCGAUUGUUUCGAUCUUUGACGUCAUGGCCGAACCAUCAGCUGAAGCCGAGCUUGUUUCGCUUUCACGAUCUAAAAGGGAUCUUUUGAGUGUUAUUGUGGAAAUUAUACAUGGAAUUCUAGAAAAAGUAUUAGGCCUAUUAGGCCUUUAAACUACAAUACACUUAAGAUGAUUUAGGCUAUCAAAAAUCCAUAUGUAAUUAAUUAUAACACUAUAUAUUUAGCAAAAUUGUCAAUUAUUACAAAUAUUCUAUGAUAAUGUCUAUAUUAUUGUCAAAAAUUGCACAAAAUAAUAUUUUUCGUUUCGGAAUUAUAUAUAUUGUAAUUCUGUAAUUAUUAUUUUAUUAUCUUGUACUAAAAUAUAUAUUGUGUUGAAAUAAAUAUGCUGCAAAAGUA